AUCCUGGCUCAGAUUGAACGCUGGCGGCAUGCCUCACACAUGCAAGUCGAACGAGGUAGCAAUACCUAGUGGCGGACGGGUGAGUAACGCGUGGGAAUCUGCCCAUAGGUGGGGGAUAACUAGCCGAAAGGUUAGCUAAUACCGCAUAUGCCGAAAGGUAAAAGGAGUAAUCCGCCUUUGGAUGAGCCCGCGUCCGAUUAGCUAGUUGGUAGAGUAAAAAGCCUACCAAGGCGACGAUCGGUAGCUGGUCUGAGAGGAUGAUCAGCCACAAUGGGACUGAGACACGGCCCAUACUCCUACGGGAGGCAGCAGUGGGGAAUUUUACGCAAUGGGGGAAACCCUGACGUAGCGACACCGCGUGAAUGAAGAAGCCCUUUGGGGGUGUAAAAUUCUGUCGGCUGGGAAGAAAAAAAAUGACGGUACCAGCAAAGGAAGCAUCGGCUAACUACGUG
Molecule: ribosomal RNA, 452 nt
Filed under: uncultured bacterium
Lineage: Bacteria
Description: bacterial SSU rRNA
Rfam family: Bacterial small subunit ribosomal RNA
Source: RNAcentral